GUGAAUGGGCAGAGAUUUUAUUCAACCUGCAAACUAGUCAUCAACACACAAGGCUUUAUCUGGGUUCUCCCUCUCUGCAAGAGAUGGACAAUCAGGAUAUAUUAUAGCUGUUCUUCAAAAGCUUGUUAGGUGAGACCAGAGCAACAUUCCAUCUCGGGCUAAUUAUCCCCCAAUAGUGAGGUAAGUCCCUUCUGUAC
RNAcentral lists this long non-coding RNA (197 nucleotides) under Mustela putorius furo (domestic ferret). RNAcentral describes it as "lncRNA (ENSMPUG00000031381.1)". The record is from RNAcentral. Lineage: Eukaryota; Metazoa; Chordata; Mammalia; Carnivora; Mustelidae.